Molecule: ribosomal RNA, 254 nt
Filed under: uncultured bacterium
Lineage: Bacteria
Description: partial 16S ribosomal RNA
Rfam family: Bacterial small subunit ribosomal RNA
Source: RNAcentral
GACGAACCGUGCGAACGUUAUUCGGAAUCACUGGGCUUAAAGCGCGUGUAGGCGGCCCGGCACGUCCGUCGCUGAAAUCCCCCGGCUCAACCGGGGAAGGGGCGUGGAUACGGCCGGGCUGGAGGGGGGUAGGGGGAGCCGGAACUUCCGGUGGAGCGGUGAAAUGCGUUGAGAUCGGAAGGAACGCCCGUGGCGAAAGCGAGGUCCUGGACGCCUACUGACGCUGAGACGCGAAAGCCAGGGGAGCGAACGGG